Molecule: transfer RNA, 76 nt
Filed under: Pseudomonadota bacterium
Lineage: Bacteria; Pseudomonadati; Pseudomonadota
Description: Proteobacteria bacterium (cold seep metagenome) tRNA-Glu
Rfam family: tRNA
About the family: Transfer RNA (tRNA) molecules are approximately 80 nucleotides in length. Their secondary structure includes four short double-helical elements and three loops (D, anti-codon, and T loops).
Source: RNAcentral
GACCCCAUCGUCUAGUGGUCAAGGACUCCGGGUUUUCAGUCCGGCAACGGGGGUUCGACGCCCCCUGGGGUUACCA